RNAcentral lists this ribosomal RNA (778 nucleotides) under uncultured Neocallimastigales. Its description in RNAcentral is "partial large subunit ribosomal RNA". It matches the Rfam family "Eukaryotic large subunit ribosomal RNA", at positions 22 to 642 of the family's 3401-position model. The record is from RNAcentral. Lineage: Eukaryota; Fungi; Neocallimastigomycota; Neocallimastigomycetes; Neocallimastigales.
CAUAGCGACUAUCGUGGCAUAUCAAUAAGCGGAGGAAAAGAAACUAACUAGGAUUCCCUCAGUAACGGCGAGUGAAGCGGGAAGAGCUCAAAUUUGAAAUCUUCAAGGUUUUACCUUGACGAAUUGUAGUUUAAAGAAGUGUUUUUCUGUUAGGAGUUAGGUAAAAGUUCUUUGGAAUAGGACAUCAUAGAGGGUGAGAAUCCCGUAUUUGACUAUUCUUUCUAACUUUGUGAUACACUUUCAACGAGUCGGAUUGUUUGGGAAUGCAGUCCAAGAUGGGUGGUAAAUUUCAUCUAAAGCUAAAUAUUGGCGAGAGACCGAUAGCGAACAAGUACCGUGAGGGAAAGAUGAAAAGAACUUUGAAAAGAGAGUUAAACAGUACGUGAAAUUGUCAAAAGGGAAGCGUUUGACACCAGCUGUUGUUUAGUUGAAAAUCAAUUCAAUAGUUUUUUGAUUCUAAGUAGUAUUGACUUCAUCAGCUUGCUGCUUUCUUCUCAGAAAUUAUUGAAUGCACUUUUCAGUCAACAAGUCAACAUCAAUUUCUUUUGUUGUAAAGAGGGUAAGAGGAAGGUGGCUUGCGCUUCGGCUCAAGUGUUUUAUAGCCUUUUAUCUCUGCAAUCGGAGAGAUUGAGGUCUGCAGCGUAGAUCCUUCGGGGUUAGAUACAUUGGUGCUAAGCUAUAGCCUUGUAUAGACAACUUGUUGACUAUGCUCAGUCAUGUAGCUUACUCGCUGAUGCUAUUUUACCUACGCUUAGGAUGUUGAUAUGCAUGACUGAUA